RNAcentral lists this long non-coding RNA (427 nucleotides) under Vitis vinifera (wine grape). Its description in RNAcentral is "long non-coding RNA (VVIN_LNC007148)". Lineage: Eukaryota; Viridiplantae; Streptophyta; Magnoliopsida; Vitales; Vitaceae. The record is from RNAcentral.
AAAACAUAUACAAAAUGGAGAUAGAAAUAUCCAAUCAUGGAUGUGGCUCCUGAGGUGGAGGAGGUGAUAUGCCCAGGUGAUGGUGGAUCUGAGAGAGCAUGGCGGAGUGCUGGUCCAGGAUAGCUGUAUGCUGAGCCUGAUGUGUCUGUAUGGUAUCCAUCUAUCGUCUGAUGGCCUGCAUCUCACGGACUAAGGUGGCCUGAGAGGCGCUCAAUGAGUGAAAGGACGACAUGAGAGCUCUGAACUCUGUAGCGGAGACAGUGAUGGAUGACCCGACUGAAGACUCAGCAUAGGCUGGAGCAGGAGUGACUGGUGGUGCGGGAGUAUCAGUAAUACAAGUCACUGGAGCAGGUACUGAAGAAGAAGGCUCUGUGGUAUGUGGGUCCUGCUCUGGUGAUGUCUGUACUGUAGGUGCUGAGGCUGCUGG